UACGUAGGGGGCUAGCGUUGUCCGGAAUCAUUGGGCGUAAAGAGCGUGUAGGCGGCCCGGUAAGUCCGCUGUGAAAGUCGGGGGCUCAACCCUCGAAUGCCGGUGGAUACUGUCGGGCUAGAGUGCGGAAGAGGCGAGUGGAAUUCCUGGUGUAGCGGUGAAAUGCGCAGAUAUCAGGAGGAACACCAAUAGCGAAGGCAGCUCGCUGGGACGGUAUUGACGCUAAGGCGCGAAAGCGUGGGGAGCAAACAGG
Molecule: ribosomal RNA, 253 nt
Filed under: uncultured bacterium
Lineage: Bacteria
Description: partial 16S ribosomal RNA
Rfam family: Bacterial small subunit ribosomal RNA
Source: RNAcentral